UCACAGACUAUGAUGGAGAUAAGUAAUCCACUGCACCCUAACAGGGACGGUACGCCACUGAUUGAGAGCGAACCGACAGGAGUUGCACGGAUGAAAUUCACUCCAGAGUCGACUUCCUGAACGCACCCGGGUUGCGGUAGGGAAGUCCGGCACACGCCGUUAUCGUGUUAAGUGAGAAACCAAUUCUAUUGGCUGUCUAACGAGGGUGGUACCGCGGAUAUAUUUCCGUCCCUUGC
This 236-nucleotide non-coding RNA is filed under the name Paenibacillus antarcticus. RNAcentral describes it as "T-box sequence". It matches the Rfam family "T-box leader". From Rfam's summary of the family: Uncharged tRNA acts as the effector for transcription antitermination of genes in the T-box leader family. T-boxes are found upstream of many aminoacyl-tRNA synthetase genes and some amino acid biosynthetic genes usually in Gram-positive bacteria. Lineage: Bacteria; Bacillati; Bacillota; Bacilli; Caryophanales; Paenibacillaceae. The record is from RNAcentral.